UACCCCCUGAAAUUUAAGCAUAUCACUAAGCGGAGAAAAAGAAAAUAACAAUGAUUCCUAAAGUAACGGCGAGUGAAAUAGGAAAAGCCCAUAGCCGAAUCCCGCUGUUCUCGACGGCAGCUGGGAGUUGUGGCGUUUGGAACUGUCUAUUGUAACCGAUUGACCGAACUACGCGACUCCUCUUGAUUGUGGUUUGCCCAUAGCAGGUGAAAGGCCUAUAGCCCGUAGUUUCAAAUUGAAGGUCAGCGGUGAUGGCAGUCCUUAGAGUCGGGUUGUUUGGGAUUGCAGCCCGAAGUCGGUGGUAAACUCCACCUAAGGCUAAAUACGACCGCGAGUCCGAUAGCGAACAAGUACCGUGAGGGACAGUUGAAAAGAACUUUGAAGAGAGAGUUCAAAGUACGUGAAACCGUUCAGAGGUAAACGGGUAGAAAGUCGAAUUAGAGGUUGACAAUCAGGUCGUUUGGCCAAGUCGGGGUUGGGCUUGUAGCACGUUAAAGGCUACUUGUCUACUCGUAAGGCUGGCUACGGCUGUAUUUGUUGAUCUUGGAUCGUCGCGACGACAGUGACUGACCAGUUGGUGUUGGUUCCUCUGAUUAGCGUAGACUCGUAUGGGUCUGUUAACGUUGGUACAUGAACUAGCAUCCUGCGUACAUGGCACUGUCGAUAUGUUAAUAGUAAUUCAAGCGUUCCAGCUGGCUAUCGUUCGCUUUGUAUUAGCAUCCCGAUCUUAAAUAAGCUCGAUUGUUAACAUCAAGGUGGCGUUAUGUUGGUUUAACGACGGAACAAGAGUUACAUUGGCGGCGUUUGACUACGAAUUAUCUACCUGACCCGUCUUGAAACACGGACCAAGGAGUCUAACUUGUGCGCGAGCUAUUGGGAAUUGAAACCCAAAGGCAAAGUGAAAGCAAGCAUGGUGAGAUCUGUCGUUUAUUUGUUAAGAAUACAACGGCGGCGCAUCAUCGUCACGCCUCAACAUCGGCUUCGGCUGUAGAGACGCAGACUGAGCGCACAGGUUGGGACCCGAAAGAUGGUGAACUAUGCUAGGCGAGGUCGAAGCCAGAGGAAACUCUGGUGGAGGACUGUAGCGGUUCUAACGUGCAAAUUGAUCGUCGCAGCUUCGUAUAGGGGCGAAAGACUAAUCGAACCAUCUAGUAGCUGGUUCCCUCCGAAGUUUCCCUCAGGAUAGCUGGCACUUACGGAGAGCAGUUUUGUCCGGUAAAGCGAAUGACUAGAGGCCUUGGGGACAUAACGACCUCAACCUAUUCUCAAACUUUGAAUGGGCAAGAAGAGGGACUUUCUUAAUUGAAGUCUCCUCAUUGAAGAAUGCUUGAGUGCCAAGUGGGCCAUUUUUGGUAAGCAGAACUGGCGCUGUGGGAUGAACCAAACGUUUAGCUAAGGCGCCAAAUGCUAACGCUCAUCCGAACCCAUUAAAGGUGUUGGUUGAUAGAGACAGCAGGACGGU
This 1462-nucleotide ribosomal RNA is filed under the name Chaetonotus bombardus. Its description in RNAcentral is "eukaryotic LSU rRNA". It matches the Rfam family "Eukaryotic large subunit ribosomal RNA", at positions 22 to 1249 of the family's 3401-position model. The record is from RNAcentral. Lineage: Eukaryota; Metazoa; Gastrotricha; Chaetonotida; Chaetonotidae.